Long non-coding RNA from Mustela erminea (ermine), 1168 nucleotides. RefSeq lists it as uncharacterized. The record is from RefSeq and is a predicted model, not a curated record. Lineage: Eukaryota; Metazoa; Chordata; Mammalia; Carnivora; Mustelidae. The transcript is spliced from 4 exons.
UGCCUUUUAGAAUAUCUGUUUACAGUGCUGGUUGGGCAAAAACACCUUGUAGGCCUGGAAUCAUUUGCUCUAAAUUCGGAGCCAAUAUAUGGUGCUGUUUUCACCAUAACCUUCUUGGGACUGGGAGUCAAGGAAAGAAUAUCAGGGUGGCUCUUCUUCUUCUUCUCCCUGGUGACCCAAAAGUGAAUCUUACUUUCCAUGUCUGAGACUUUUGUUUUGCUUGUCUAGAGGUCUUAGUUCCCAAGGGAUGAUUGCUUCCACCAGGAGACACAGCAGGGGUUCUAUUAAAUGGGAAGUCGAGGCCGCCAACUGGCCACUUCGCGCUCUUCAUCACAGCAACUCAACAGGCAAAGAAGAGUUUCUGUACUGGCUGGGCUGAGUGUUCCUGACUAUCAAGGGUUGCUUCUCUGCAGCACAGUGGAACGUUCUAGCCUAGAGCUGGAUGGGAUUUUGAGAUUUCCCUGGUCCUGCCCAAUUAUCUUACAAGACUUGCCCAAAAGUAGCUGGUGGAGAUCCCAGAAGGUCUCAUUCAGAGAAGAAGAGUCUGGGUGCUCCAGGCGUCUGAGCAGCUGAUGGAGUGAGCGGGGGUCUGACUGAUGGCAGCUGGAACAUCAUGGAAUCCGUCAGGCCUUGAGAUGACGAACUAUGUUGACUUCCUCCUGGCAUUUGGGAGAACCUGUAGUGGUUCUUGGCUCUGGAUGUAUGGUGGCAUCAUUUAAAGAUGUUUGGAUAAACAAGUAUCAGUGCACAACUCUGCCUCCAAACCUAUUGAACAAAAACCUUUCAGACUAAGUUUAACUAACCUGAAUCUAGAAGGUGAGGCCAGGUAUCUCCCAUUUCUUUUCCCCAAGUCUAGGGCCCUGAGUUACUUCUCCAGAAUCCACCUUCUGACAAACUACUCCCAGGAGGCCAUUUCUCAGGUGUGUUUAGCUGAGUGGGAAGGUGUGGUGUGGAGAAAACAAUUGGGCUGGGCUUGGUCUCUGACAUUGGUGCUGCUCGUCUGACCUGGACUGUCUGAGCCCCAUGGAGAGAAAGGCUAUGGGGGAGAAUGGGGCAAUGAGGGGUGAGCAUGGCAUGGCUUUGGGUGGGAGCCAUGACAAUGGUGUGGAGAAGAGAGGAUAUCUGCUUCACCUGUGUGUGGCAUACAGCAGGGCUUCAGAGCUGGAAA